This 1458-nucleotide ribosomal RNA is filed under the name metagenome. RNAcentral's name for it is "bacterial LSU rRNA". It matches the Rfam family "Bacterial large subunit ribosomal RNA", at positions 1396 to 2885 of the family's 2925-position model. The record is from RNAcentral.
GUGUAACCCGAGAGGGGCAACCGAUGGAAAGUUGGUUAAUAUUCCAACACCUGCUUAUAUUGCGAUGGGGUGACGAAGUAGUGAAAGUACCGCGGGGUUACGGAAUAUCCCGUUAAAGCGUGUAGAUGUUGAUAGAGUAGGCAAAUCCGCUCUUGAAUCGAACGUGAUAGUGCUCAAGGUUUUCGAACUGAGAGAUAGUGUACCUAAUCAGACUUCCUAGAAAAACCUCUAAGCUUCAGGUAUAAGCAGCCCGUACCGUAAACCGACACAGGUAGACGAGGAGAGUAUCCUCAGGCGCUCGAGUGAGUCACGGCUAAGGAACUCGGCAAAAUGGACCCGUAACUUCGGGAGAAGGGUCGCCUCAGCAAUGAGGCCGCAGUGAAAAGUAUCAGGCGACUGUUUAACAAAAACACAGGGCUCUGCAAAAUCGAAAGAUGAAGUAUAGGGCCUGACACCUGCCCGGUGCUGGAAGGUUAAGGAAGGUUGUUAGCCGCAAGGCAAAGCUUCCGACUGAAGCCCCAGUAAACGGCGGCCGUAACAAUAACGGUCCUAAGGUAGCGAAAUUCCUUGUCGGGUAAGUUCCGACCUGCACGAAUGGUGUAACGAUCUGAUAACUGUCUCAGCCGUGAGCUCGGUGAAAUUGUAGUCCCGGUGAAGAUGCCGGGUACCCGUAACGGGACGGAAAGACCCCGUGAACCUUCACUACAACUUUGCAUUGACUUUGAGUAAACGAUGUGUAGCAUAGGUGGGAGACUUUGAAGCGGGCACGCUAGUGUUUGUGGAGUCAACGUUGAAAUACCACCCUUUGUUUACUUAGAGCCUAAUCCGCUAAGCGGAGAAAGUGCAUGGUGGGUAGUUUGACUGGGGUGGUCGCCUCCAAAAGAGUAACGGAGGCUUCCAAAGGUACCCUCAGCACGCUUGGUAACCGUGCGCAGAGUGUAUUAGCAUAAGGGUGCUUGACUGUGAGACCGACGGGUCGAGCAGGUACGAAAGUAGGGUAAAGUGAUCCGGUGGUUCUGCAUGGAAGGGCCAUCGCUCAAAGGAUAAAAGGUACUCCGGGGAUAACAGGCUGAUCUCCCCCAAGAGCUCAUAUCGACGGGGAGGUUUGGCACCUCGAUGUCGGCUCGUCACAUCCUGGGGCUGGAGAAGGUCCCAAGGGUUGAUCUGUUCGCUCAUUAAAGUGGCACGCGAGCUGGGUUCAGAACGUCGCAAGACAGUUCGGUCCCUAUCUGUUAUGGGCGUUUGAGAUUUGAGAAGAUCUGUUUCUAGUACGAGAGGACCGGAAUGGACUGACCUCUAGUGUACCGGUUAUGUCGCCAGAUGUACCGCCGGGUAGCUACGUUGGGAAGGGAUAAGCGCUGAAAGCAUCUAAGCACGAAACCCACUUCAAGAUGAGAUCUCAUAGGGUCGUCGAAGACUACGACGUUGAUAGGUCAUAGGUGUAAAGGUGGUAACAUC